Long non-coding RNA from Pan paniscus (pygmy chimpanzee), 579 nucleotides. The record is from Ensembl. NCBI's taxonomy places the organism in Eukaryota, Metazoa, Chordata, Mammalia, Primates, Hominidae.
CUUAUCUCCAUUUCAACGGGACGAUUCUGGACCGCAGUGAUCACAGCCCCCCUUUCCCUCACUGAGACUUACCAGAAGGGACUCUGCACAGGGAAAGGCUCAUUGGUGGGGCUGCCUGGGAGAACUCCCAAGACACACAGGUGGAGCCUUUCCCGAAGGGAUAGGCCAAGUAUGGAGCAAUUAUCUCGCGUCUUCAUCCAUCAUCGGAAAUCCUAACUGAAGCUUUUGAGCCGAUUUCCAAAGCUUUAUGGGAGGAGCCCAGGGACGCAAGCGAGAGCCUCUGCAAGUCACCCCAGCUGCCGCGUUUCCACCCAGGAGGAAGACGCACGUGGGGCGGCACGAGAGAUAGACGGAGGACCCACAAGAAGAAGGAUGCUAAUGAUGUUCCAAGUGUUGACGGUUCUCUGGCCCCAGGAGACAGCCUGGAAGACAUCCCUAGAUGCUGAGAAUCCUCGUCAAGAACGACUCUUCACUGCCAAAGUCAACCACUUCACUCUCAGCAACGGCUGUCAUUUCCAUGUUUAAGAUGCACACUUUGCCUAUAGAAGCAUUCACAACAUAGUCUCUCCUCCAUUGUAG